RNAcentral lists this long non-coding RNA (584 nucleotides) under Olea europaea subsp. europaea. The record is from RNAcentral. Lineage: Eukaryota; Viridiplantae; Streptophyta; Magnoliopsida; Lamiales; Oleaceae.
CCACCAUCUUCAACCAAGUUCAGAAUUUUUGAAAAGUCUCAGAUUUAGAUUUCAAUGGAUAGGUCCAAACUUUUCUAGAGUAGUCGUCAACUAUAGAAAGAAAGUACUUAUUCCCUCCAAAUGUAGGAUGACUUUUCGGUCCCCAUAAAUCUGAGUGGACAUAGUCUAGGGGCCUAGAGGUGGUAUGUGAUCCAGUCUCAAAGCUCACCCUAUGUGACUUGCCCAAUACACAUGUUUCACAAAAUUCAAGAGGCUCAAUCGUAUCCUUCCCAAGCAACUUUUGAUUACUUAGAUACUUUAAACCUUUAUUUCCUAUAUGUCCCAUUCUGUUGUGCCACAAUUCAGAUUUAUUUUCCGUUAUGGUCAAAGAUUUAGCAUUUUGAGGGAUAACUGUCUCUCCCAAAAGAUAGUACAAUCCAUUUCUUCUUGGUCCCUUAAAGAUUACCAAAGAUCCCUUCAUAACUUUCAAGGUGUUAUUUUCAGACUUGAAAGGAUGUCCCUCAUCUUCAAGAGAUCCCAACGAGAUGAGAUUUCUUUUCAAAUUCGGGACAUGUCUCACAUUCUUUAAUUUCCUGACAAUGCCA